RNAcentral lists this microRNA precursor (89 nucleotides) under Pelobates cultripes (western spadefoot toad). Lineage: Eukaryota; Metazoa; Chordata; Amphibia; Anura; Pelobatidae. The record is from RNAcentral.
CUCCAGAUGUUGCUGAACUACAACUCCCAUGAUUCUCAACCUAUUUCAUUCAUAGAAUCAUUGGAGUUGUAGUUCAGCAACAUCUAGAG